AUUGAACGCUGGCGGCAGGCCUAACGCAUGCAAGUCGAGCGGAUGAAGGGAGCUUGCUCCUGGAUUCAGCGGCGGACGGGUGAGUAAUGCCUAGGAAUCUGCCUGGUAGUGGGGGAUAACGUCCGGAAACGGGCGCUAAUACCGCAUACGUCCUGAGGGAGAAAGUGGGGGUUCUUCGGACCUCACGCUAUCAGAUGAGCCUAGGUCGGAUUAGCUAGUUGGUGGGGUAAAGGCCUACCAAGGCGACGAUCCGUAACUGGUCUGAGAGGAUGAUCAGUCACACUGGAACUGAGACACGGUCCAGACUCCUACGGGAGGCAGCAGUGGGGAAUAUUGGACAAUGGGCGAAAGCCUGAUCCAGCCAUGCCGCGUGUGUGAAGAAGGUCUUCGGAUUGUAAAGCACUUUAAGUUGGGAGGAAGGGCAGUAAGUUAAUACCUUGCUGUUUUGACGUUACCAACAGAAUAAGCACCGGCUAACUUCGUG
Molecule: ribosomal RNA, 484 nt
Filed under: uncultured bacterium
Lineage: Bacteria
Description: partial 16S ribosomal RNA
Rfam family: Bacterial small subunit ribosomal RNA
Source: RNAcentral